RNAcentral lists this ribosomal RNA (463 nucleotides) under uncultured bacterium. Its description in RNAcentral is "partial 16S ribosomal RNA". It matches the Rfam family "Bacterial small subunit ribosomal RNA", at positions 339 to 795 of the family's 1533-position model. The record is from RNAcentral.
CUACGGGAGGCAGCAGUAGGGAAUCUUCCACAAUGGGCGAAAGCCUGAUGGAGCAACGCCGCGUGAGUGAAGAAGGUUUUCGGAUCGUAAAACUCUGUUGUAAGGGAAGAACAAGUACAGUAGUAACUGGCUGUACCUUGACGGUACCUUAUUAGAAAGCCACGGCUAACUACGUGCCAGCAGCCGCGGUAAUACGUAGGUGGCAAGCGUUGUCCGGAAUUAUUGGGCGUAAAGCGCGCGCAGGCGGUCCUUUAAGUCUGAUGUGAAAGCCCACGGCUCAACCGGGGAGGGUCAUUGGAACUGGGGGGCUUGAGUGCAGAAGAGGAAAGUGGAAUUCCAAGUGUAGCGGUGAAAUGCGUAGAGAUUUGGAGGAACACCAGUGGCGAAGGCGACUUUCUGGUCUGUAACUGACGCUGAGGCGCGAAAGCGUGGGGAGCAAACAGGAUUAGAUACCCCAGUAGUC